GGAGGAUAGAUCGAUUCCAGGCGGGCCGUGAUUUGACAACUCCUCGUCGGUCUCGCGCUGGUCGUCGAAGACGUCGAGCUGCACUGUAAGGUCCGGAGCGUGGCUCUUCCUGCAAGAACAAUCGUCACCUUCCUGAUCCGGCGGAGGAACGCGAAAAUCGGAGGGAGACAGGUCGAGUUCUUUCCCUGUCAGACUCUCGGCUCCAUUAACGUUGUCAGGAAUUCGGGAAGACAGAGGGCGAAGAGGAAAAAGAAAAUUCCGAGAGGACAAUCCUAGUUUAAGGGGUAUAACUAUCUUGUUAGCCCACGAGAUAAUUAGAAGUUCAGCGCAGAAAGACAAACACAGUGAUUCAAAGAGUUGAAGAGAUUAUACUACUUGGAUUGAAGGGUUAAGCGUUAUCGGCGCACCAUUAGCUGGAUCAUGCGCCGCGCCGAUUCCACGGCUGGUCCAGCGCGAAUUAUGUUUGCUCUGGGUAACUCGAAUAUUCGAUAAGACGGCGAGCCUCGUAUUUAACGGACGAUUAACGCGACAAAUUGCUACACGAUAAAACGCAUAUUUCACAACGCCGUUGCACGAGCUAGUAUGCCGCGAAUGUAACUCUGCAGGAACGUUACGACACGGUCCAAUUUCCAUAAACAAGUAGACAAUUCUGAUGAACAUAAAGAUACAAGAAGAGGAUGAGAAUGUAUCAUGGAAGAUGGAAGAGAAGCGACGAGCUCAUGUUUAAAAGAAGCUUAGGAAUCCAUGGAACGUGCAUCGACUGUGAGAGAGUUGAAAUGGUGGAGACACAGGAAAAGGAAGGAGCGUGUCCCUCGACCUCGCACUAGGCACACCUGUAUACUUCCAUUUUAAUUGCCGUCGCAAAUAAUCCGAACUGGGAUUUUGAAUCAUUCUACACCGAUACGAGGCAACUGUGGUUACCUUGUCGCAACGUGGUCAUGGCCCCGACUGGUCGCGAGGUAUAGUGGUCAGGAUCGUCCCCCCUUUACUUUUACUUCUGCAUCUAUGACGCUCAUCGACGUCUCCGACCGUACAUACGCGUUCGUGGUACACGAAAUCACAAUUUUUUUUCUACGCCGAUCGAUUUACCCAUCGAUUUCGUUGAUUCUUUUAUUCCCAUGCCCAGAUAAAAUCUACAACCAUGGAGAACGAAUGUGUUCCUAAAUGAAAAUACCGGUGGGCUGCUAAUUAUGUAACUCCGCACUUAAAAUACUAUUCCUUUGUCGUUAAUAUCAAUCAAGACUUGUAAUUAAUGAUACAGCGUCCGACGUUGCAAGAACAUAUAGAAAUGAAGAUAUGCAAAACAUUAAGUUAAUAAAGUAUUCGUUAAAGUAUAAGACGUAUUAUUUACACUAACUACUGUUCUUUCAUUUUCUAAUUCUUAAGGGCUUUGCAUCGUGAACAAAGAAACGAUUAUUUGAACGCUGGAAAUAAUCGCUGUCGUGACUGUCAGGUUGUCAGGAGAAUAACGAAGAUAAUAACGCACGUGACAUUUGACGGAAAGGAAGCGUACCACUUUUCUUAAAAGACGGGGUCCCUCCCAAAGAAACGCCGCGAAGUUUGACAGGUGUUCAACAGGUUGACCGCCGAGUGGAUGGUCCUUAGCUUGAUUGGCAUCCCUAUCGCAGUAGCACGCGACGUCGUGGCGCGCACACACUUUUUUCGUCGAGCACCGAUUCGCGGAAACUGCGUUUCAUGAGCGCGCGACAGA
Hylaeus anthracinus is the source of this 1711-nucleotide long non-coding RNA. RefSeq lists it as uncharacterized. Lineage: Eukaryota; Metazoa; Arthropoda; Insecta; Hymenoptera; Colletidae. The transcript has 7 exons. The record is from RefSeq and is a predicted model, not a curated record.